RNAcentral lists this ribosomal RNA (485 nucleotides) under uncultured bacterium. RNAcentral's name for it is "bacterial SSU rRNA". It matches the Rfam family "Bacterial small subunit ribosomal RNA", at positions 28 to 511 of the family's 1533-position model. The record is from RNAcentral.
GAUGAACGCUAGCGGCAGGCUUAAUACAUGCAAGUCGUGGGGCAGCAUGAGUAGCAAUACUUGAUGGCGACCGGCAAACGGGUGAGGAACACGUACACAACCUUCCUUCAAGCGGGGAAUAGCCCAGAGAAAUUUGGAUUAAUACCCCAUAAUAUAUUUGAUAAGGCAUCUUAUUAAUAUUAAAGCUUCGGCACUUGAUGAUGGGUGUGCGGCUGAUUAGAUAGUUGGCGGGUAACGGCCCACCAAGUCUACGAUCAGUAGCUGAUGUGAGAGCAUGAUCAGCCACACGGGCACUGAGACACGGGCCCGACUCCUACGGGAGGCAGCAGUAAGGAAUAUUGGACAAUGGACGAAAGUACUGAUCCAGCCAUGCCGCGUGAAGGAUUAAGGUCCUCUGGAUUGUAAACUUCUUUAUAUGGGACGAAAAGGCAUUCUUGUUCACUUGACGGUACCAUAUGAAUAAGCACCGGCUAACUCCGUGCCAG